AGAGUUUGAUCAUGGCUCAGAACGUACGCUGGCGGCACGCCUAACACAUGCAAGUCGAACGAAGUAGCAAUACUUAGUGGCAGACGGGUGAGUAACAUGUAGGUAUCUGCCCUUUGGCCUGGAAUAACACGAGGAAACUUGUGCUAAUACCGGAUAAGUCUUUACGGAGAAAGCUUUAUGCACCAUUGGAUGAGCCUGCACUUGAUUAGUUUGUUGGUGGGGUAAUGGCCUACCAAGACUGUGAUCAAUAGCUGAUUUGAGAGGAUGAUCAGCCACAUUGGGACUGAGACACGGCCCAAACUCCUACGGGAGGCAGCAGUGGGGAAUCUUGCACAAUGGAGGAAACUCUGAUGCAGCGAUGCCGCGUGAGUGAAGAAGGCCCUUGGGUUGUAAAGCUCUUUCGUCGGGGAAGAAAAUGACUGUACCCGAAUAAGAAGGUCCGGCUAACUUCGUGCCAGCAGCCGCGGUAAUACGAAGGGACCUAGCGUAGUUCGGAAUUACUGGGCUUAAAGAGUUCGUAGGUGGUUGAAAAAGUUAGUGGUGAAAUCCCAGAGCUUAACUCUGGAACUGCCAUUAAAACUUUUCAGCUAGAGUAUGAUAGAGGAAAGCAGAAUUUCUAGUGUAGAGGUGAAAUUCGUAGAUAUUAGAAAGAAUACCAAUUGCGAAGGCAGCUUUCUGGAUCAUUACUGACACUGAGGAACGAAAGCAUGGGUAGCGAAGAGGAUUAGAUACCCUCGUAGUCCAUGCCGUAAACGAUGUGUGUUAGACGUUGGAAAUUUAUUUUCAGUGUCGCAGGGAAACCGAUAAACACACCGCCUGGGGAGUACGACCGCAAGGUUAAAACUCAAAUGAAUUGACGGGGACCCGCACAAGUAGUGGAGCAUGUGGUUUAAUUCGAAGAUACGCGCAGAACCUUACCAACACUUGACAUGUUCGUCGCGACUCUAAGAGAUUAGAGUUUUCGGUUCGGCCGGACGAAACACAGGUGCUGCAUGGCUGUCGUCAGCUCGUGUCGUGAGAUGUUGGGUUAAGUCCCGCAACGAGCGCAACCCUCACUUUUAGUUGCCAUCAUUAAGUUGGGCACUCUGAAAGAACUGCCAGUGAUAAGCUGGAGGAAGGUGGGGAUGACGUCAAGUCCUCAUGGCCCUUACGUGUUGGGCUACACACGUGCUACAAUGGUAUCUACAACAGGAAGCAAGACUGCGAAGUUAAGCAAAUCCCUAAAAGAUACCUCAGUUCGGAUUGCACUCUGCAACUCGAGUGCAUGAAGCUGGAAUUACUAGUAAUCGUGGAUCAGCGUGCCACGGUGAAUGCGUUCCCGGGUCUUGUACACACCGCCCGUCACACCAUGGGAGUUGGUUCUACCUUAAGGCAAGGUUUCAAACCCUUGACCACGGUAUAGUCAGCGACUGGGGUGAAGUCGUAACAAGGUAGCCGUA
RNAcentral lists this ribosomal RNA (1439 nucleotides) under uncultured bacterium. RNAcentral's name for it is "bacterial SSU rRNA". It matches the Rfam family "Bacterial small subunit ribosomal RNA". The record is from RNAcentral.